AAUGUGCAUGGGAAAGAAUACCACUGCUCAGCAAAGCAUGGGGAGAGGAGGCCACCGGGAAGAGCACAGAAGCAGCAAGAAGUGGAUGCCUCAAAACCUAAACAAGCAGGAGGAUGGUCUUUAAAGCAUUUGGAUGAUACAAGACAGAUUACUACCUUGAAUUUAUGCACCACUGGGAAAUACCAUUAUCCACCAGGCAAUACUGAAACACAGAACUCUAGGAGUUAUUUAAAUGAUUUACAACUUUUGUAUAUUCUUUUUUUUUUUUUUUUUAAUCAAGAGCUUAUCAGUUUAAUAUAUGUAUCUAUUUUGUCCUUCAUCAAAGCACACAACAUUCUCUGAACCCUUUGAGAAAAUGAAGUGAAGAAACAAGGCUGGCCAGAUAAAAUCUUAUAGAAAGUUAUGCAAAAAAAUGAUGCUAGAAUCACUUUCAAUAUUGAAAACACUAUCAUGGGUGACCAGGGAAGCAUUAGAUCUGAAAAAAUAAAAGUCUUCAAUUCUGUAAAACCUUAGGUUUUCACUGCUUUACAAGUUUCAAUCCAUUUGCAAAGUUGCAGCUAUUACUGAAUAAAACCUGCUACAUAAAACAAAAGAGAAAAAAAAAAAAAAGACAAUUCCUAUUUCUUUGAAAAUGGAAUUUUUUUCAGUACUAAUUUUACUAAUUCACGACUGAAGUGUGAAAGGUAUCUAAUACAAAAUACGCAAGUUAUAUGUUCUUUCCAAAACAUCAAAGAUAUUUUACUGCUGCAAUAAUCAACCUCUAAUAACCAGUGAAGGACCAACUGGAAUACUCCAAAGCAUCUCAGCACAGGCAAGCAAGCAAGAACUAAGUCAGACCCCAGAAUAGUAAUUUUAAAAAUUCUUUGGCAACAUAAUAAAGUUGUUUCUGUUAAAAAACUUAAAUUACCUUUUCUUUUCGAGGCUCUCAAUCCCACUAAUUGAGUUUUCAAUUUUUGUCACUUGCCAUGGAAAGACUUUGAUCACAUGGUAAAUGGUUUUACAGUGAGCAGGAGUGCAAGUGGCAAGAUGCAGAACAAGGAACUUAUCCUCCAGAGUUUAAUUUUGAUGGGUUGCCUUUGAUCCCACAAAGACCAGAUCACAACUUUAGUUGUGCCCAUCCUAGCAGUGGGUGUGUCACCUCAGGAACCCACCAGAGAACAAAGCACAUUCCAAAGACAGAAAUUACAGGACCUGGCUUAAAACUCUUGAUCUGCGAUUCAGGAACUUCACCAAAAAAAGAAACCUGGUACUUGUGCCAAGCCAUCUAACAAUCACAGAAUUUGGGAGAGUGUUCAGUUCACUUCCUUUUUUAUCUGUUUGGCCAGUCUCCAGCUUUCCUCUUCAAGAUCAUCGGGUUUGUUGAAAGCAGCCACUGUCAAACAAAGUUAUUUCUUGAAUAUUGUAUUGAAUUUAUUCUGUUUUGCCUAUACCUUGUGCAAAUGAUAGGAACUGUUUAACAUUUAUGGGAAUGCAACGGAGAAAAGAAUUUGAAAUGCAUCAAAACUAUGCAAGAUGAAAAAUGUAAGAAAAGCAUUCAGAAUGUCUACAAUAAAAGAAAGAGAAGGAGACAAAAGAAGUCAAAGAUUUGUUUUUUCUUUGGUGAAAGCCAGCCAGAAAUUCUUGAAAUUCUUCAAGCUACAUUGAACUACAUCUUCUAGAUCUAAACGUGAAGCUGCACAGGAUUUAAGCACAUGUUUCCAUAGACUUUUCAACUACUGGCAAUUUCUGCUCUGACAGAAAGACUAUCUCUUAUCUUAAUGGGACUCUACAUCUUUUACAGCCUAUUCAUUAAAGUUGUUUCUGACUCCAAAAUUUGGUUUCUGCGUCGUGAGUUUUGUGAAAGUCAUAAAGUGUUAGAUUUAAUGAAGCAGGAAGCAUAAAAUUAUGUAAUUUUUCAUGCUGUGAGCACUCCUCCACAUAUCUAGGAGAUCUGUCCUGGGUGAGGACUCAGAUGCCAGUCCUGUGAGCAGGGGGAUGCCUUCCCCAAGUUGACUCCCCCCAAGAAUAAACUAAGAGUCUCAUCCAUGGAAUUAGCCUGCUCAAAAUAAAAACUACUGAUAAGCCUAAUGACCUGCCUAGUCUGCAAACAAAAUAUUUAGUGCAAUUGAAGAAAACAGGAAGGUCUUCCUACCUGUCUAUGGUUAAAAAAACAAAUCUGUCUGUCACUGAUGAUGGGAUAUUCUGCUUUAACAAGUGCCAAAAGUUCUGAAGAUACUUUUUAGAGGUUUCUAAAUGCAUUAUUUAUAAGUUCCCUUCCUCUCACAGAAUUCUUUGUAGCUGGAAUUGUAGUAUUAAUGGAGCUUGGCUUUACAGGCAUAGACAGAAAUAGACACAAUAAAACUUUAAAACUUACUGAAAUAUUUUACGAAUAAGCUGCUGUAAAAUAUCAGGCAUCUACAGAGCUGUGGUGUGAAAUGCAUGGCUUCUUGGAGAUGACCUAUAUAACUCACCCACAAUAUUUCACUCAGAAAUACUGAAUCUUUCCAAAUGCACACUUCAAAACUUUCUCAGACCACUUUCCAAAAACGUUACAAUUUUUAUAUCUAUCCCAAACACAUAUCUUCUGUAAUUUCACAUCUCUAAAGUGGAGUGAGAUGAUUCAGUAAUGCAACAUUUGAUAGUAAAAUAUGCUUUCAUCAAUCUGACUACAGCUCUCUGGAUUGACUUCAAUUCCCCAAAUAAUUUUUGGCAGGAAGAGCUAUUUCGGGG
RNAcentral lists this long non-coding RNA (2709 nucleotides) under Taeniopygia guttata (zebra finch). Its description in RNAcentral is "lncRNA (ENSTGUG00000022069.1)". The record is from RNAcentral. Lineage: Eukaryota; Metazoa; Chordata; Aves; Passeriformes; Estrildidae.